AGCGAGAUUGACUUCCUGGCGUUAUGCGAUGAUGUCGAGAUUUCUCGAUUUCUCGAUUCACGUUAACGCUUGUGGUAUGCGUUCGAUCGUGUCGGCGUGCACUUCUCCUCUAGUAGAACGUCGCGACCCGCUGGGUGUCGAUUUAAGGGACCGAGAUCGUUGACUGUACCGUCGCUUCGGCGUUACGUGUGCAGACGCUUGGUUUUCCCCGACCGACUGCUCGGCGGUAAACGUACAAGGUAUCGAGCCGCACUUGAAUGCGUUCAGACUCGUUGCAAGCUUCAUCAUUGUUUAUCUUGGAUGUGCGGACCUGGUGCCGUACCCGAGAAUGAUUGGGCUGUUGGUUAACGAUGUUCUCGAACCGGCUUACACUUGCUGUAACAGCGAUACCGGUCGGCGACGCUAUUGCUUUGGGUACUUUCAGGACCCGUCUUGAAACACGGACCAAGGAGUCUAACAUGUGCGCGAGUCAUUGGGAUUAUUAAAACCUAAAGGCGCAUUGAAAGAGAAGAUCGACCUUGCGUUGAUUGAGGGAGGAUGAGCUAACGUCGUCGUUGUUUUGCGACGCGACGAUGUUGCUCCGCACUCCCGGGGCGUCUCGUGGUCAUUACGACCUGAGGCGCACCCAGAGCGUACACGUUGGGACCCGAAAGAUGGUGAACUAUGCCUGGUCAGGAUGAAGUCAGGGGAAACCCUGAUGGAGGUCCGUAGCGAU
RNAcentral lists this ribosomal RNA (715 nucleotides) under Telenomus sp. CT-2012i. RNAcentral describes it as "eukaryotic LSU rRNA". It matches the Rfam family "Eukaryotic large subunit ribosomal RNA", at positions 500 to 884 of the family's 3401-position model. The record is from RNAcentral. Lineage: Eukaryota; Metazoa; Arthropoda; Insecta; Hymenoptera; Scelionidae.